This 116-nucleotide ribosomal RNA is filed under the name Microcebus murinus (gray mouse lemur). Lineage: Eukaryota; Metazoa; Chordata; Mammalia; Primates; Cheirogaleidae. The record is from RNAcentral.
GUCUAUGGCCAUACCACCCUGAACCUGCUUGAUCUCAGAAGCUAAGCAGGGUCGGGCCUGGUUAGUACUUGGAUGGGAGAAAUAAUUGCUUGCUUAACAUCAGGUUACUUCAGGUU